GGAAGCCACGAGACGGUGCAUGGAAUCGGAGGGAACGCUUGUUUCGCUUGCAUCGCUCGCGCCGUUGCAUCGCGAACGGGGAUUCUCGCGUCACCACCCCCAUUACAACACACAGGAUCCCGCACUACGAAAACUCUUCAUUUGGGUCGUGAAUUUGAGCUGCUUUGCUCCUCAACUGACGACGAGGGUUUUUAGCCUUUGUUCGAGGGGUUGUCUGUCGCAGAUGUUGUGGAAACAUUCUAGAGUCGCGUUUUCGGCAAGGUUCGUUGCUGGGUUGGUACCACCAAAGAUUUGGGUGGCAAAAUUUGAACGCGCUGAAGUGUUUCCUUCGUUUUGAAGAGUUGGGACGUUCGCAUCGGAUGGGAAACAGGAAAGCUGUCUUUUUGCUCUCAAAGGGUGAGGGAGAUUCUCGUGGUGAGUUUUGCGCACGGUUUGGUUUGUGAGGAAAGCGAUUCUGUUUUUUUUUUUAAACGUGGGUAACGAAUCGUUCUCGCUGGGGAAUCGUCUCAAAUGGAGCGGAUAUUCCUGGGACAUCGAGGCGAUUGUUUUGAUAAUGCGGAGGAGGCAGUUGGAGAAGAGGAUUUGAACCUAAGAGAAGGAGAUGCUUGACUUACUGCCAGCAUUGGGUCAGGCGUGGACAUAUUUCGAACAACUGAUACUCUUCUACAUUGCUCCGCUGACCCAGUACAUGAUAACGGAGCUUGAAAAGCAUGGAAUUAUGGUAUCAGCAGUUGCAAGGGGCUUUUCCAAGACAGACUCCUUAUUUGCUUCGAGGAGUGAGCGGGGGAUUCAAGAGGCUUCGAAGGAAAUGUCCCUCCACAGAUGGAUGCAUCCCGUGUAUGAGCUUGAUGCUCUGAUUACUUUCCUUGUCAGUGACCAUGGGCACUCCAGAACAGAGAAUGUUCGCAUUGCUGGCGUAGAACAUUUUCUGUCAAAACCUCAGGUGAAAUCCUUGUAGCCGAACAAUCUGCUUGAUGGUGCAAAAUCCCCAAUUACCCGCAGUCGUGUUGCCUGGAAACGAUUUCGACAUCUUUGAGGUACCCAGAUACCUCAUUUGUCUUGACAAGUAAAGUAGAUUUGGGUAAAAUUUUAACAGUCCACGGAUCGGUCUCGAAUUAUGCAACAUUGUCUCAUGCAUGCAUCUAGUGCAGUGAAAGUCAAAGCUAAAGAUUCAUCUGCUUCAAUAAAGGACCCCCUUGUAUGUCAGCCAA
Non-coding RNA from Physcomitrium patens, 1211 nucleotides. The record is from RefSeq and is a predicted model, not a curated record. Lineage: Eukaryota; Viridiplantae; Streptophyta; Bryopsida; Funariales; Funariaceae.